AUGAUAUUUUAAUGGCUGCGGUAAUUUGACCGUACAAAGGUAGCAUAGUAAUUAGUCUUUUAAUUGAAGUCUGGUAUGAAUGAUUGGAUGAGAAAUUUUCUUUCUUUAUUUUUUUAUUAUAACUUAAUUUUUAAGUGAAAAAGCUUAAGUUUUUUUUUGGGACGAUAAGACCCUAUAGAUCUUUAUUAGUUUAUAAUUCAUGAGUUUUUGGGUUUUAUUUAUUUAUUUGUUUUUAAUUUAAUUUGGUUGGGGUGACAUUAAAAUUUUUUUUACUUUUAUUUUUUUUUUCAUUAUAUAAUUGUUUUUGUUGAUCCUUUUUUAUUGAUUUUAAGAUUAAGUUACCUUAGGGAUAACAGCGUAAUUUAUUUUUAGAGUUCUUAUCGAUAAAUAAGUUUGCGACCUCGAUGUUGGAUUAAGAUUAGAGGAGGGUGAAGA
RNAcentral lists this ribosomal RNA (435 nucleotides) under Hindola viridicans. RNAcentral's name for it is "partial 16S ribosomal RNA". The record is from RNAcentral. Lineage: Eukaryota; Metazoa; Arthropoda; Insecta; Hemiptera; Machaerotidae.